This 1042-nucleotide ribosomal RNA is filed under the name unidentified archaeon. RNAcentral's name for it is "bacterial SSU rRNA". It matches the Rfam family "Archaeal small subunit ribosomal RNA", at positions 1 to 1053 of the family's 1478-position model. The record is from RNAcentral.
UCUGGUUGAUCCUGCCAGAGGCCACUGCUAUCGGGGUUCGAUUAAGCCAUGCGAGUCGAGAGGUGAAAGACCUCGGCGUACUGCUCAGUAACACGUGGACAACCUACCCUAAGGAGGGGGAUAACCCCGGGAAACUGGGGAUAAUACCCCAUAGACUAGAGAAGCUGGAAUGCUCUCAAGUCCAAAGGUCCGCCGCCUUAGGAUGGGUCUGCGGUCGAUUAGGUUGUUGUUGGGGUAACGGCCCAACAAGCCCGUGAUCGAUACGGGUUGUGAGAGCAAGAGCCCGGAGAUGGAUUCUGAGACACGAAUCCAGGCCCUACGGGGCGCAGCAGGCGCGAAAACUUUACAAUGCGGGAAACCGUGAUAAGGGAACCCCGAGUGCCCGUAAAUUCGGGCUGUCCAUCAGCGUAAAUAACUGGUGAAGAAAGGGCCGGGCAAGACCGGUGCCAGCCGCCGCGGUAAUACCGGCGGCUCGAGUGGUGGCCACUAUUAUUGGGCUUAAAGCGUCCGUAGCUUGGUUGUUAAGUCUCUUGGGAAAUCUACCGGCUCAACCGGUAGGCGUUCAGGAGAUACUGGCAAUCUAGGGACCGGGAGAGGUGAGAGGUACUCCAGGGGUAGGAGUGCAAUCCUGUAAUCCUUGGGGGACCACCUGUGGCGAAGGCGUCUCACUAGAACGGCUCCGACAGUGAGGGACGAAAGCUGGGGGAGCAAACCGGAUUAGAUACCCGGGUAGUCUCAGCUGUAAACGAUGCGCGUUAGGUGUAUCGGUGACCACGAGUCACCGAGGUGCCGAAGGGAAACCGUGAAACGUGCCGCCUGGGAAGUACGGUCGCAAGGCUGAAACUUAAAGGAAUUGGCGGGGGAGCACCACAACAGGUGGAGCCUGCGGUUUAAUCGGACUCAACGCCGGAAAGCUCACCGGAUAAGACAGCGGAAUGAUAGCCGGGCUGAAGACUCUGCUUGACUAGCUGAGAGGAGGUGCAUGGCCGUCGUCAGUUCGUACUGUGAAGCAUCCUGUUAAGUCAGGCAACGAGCGAGACCC